UACGAGAGGGGCAAGCGUUAUUCGGAAUGAUUGGGCGUAAAGCGCCUGUAGGCGGUGAUCAACUUGUCGGGGAUGCAGCUCACAGGAAUGCUGUGAACCACCCCGGGAGGUUGGUCGCUUGAGGCGGUCAGAGGAGCGUGGAAUUCCUGGAGGAGCGGUAAAAUGUGUUGAGCUCAGGAGGAACACCGAUGGCGAAAGCAGCGCUCUGGGACCGACCUGACGUUGAGAGGCGAAAGCGUGGGGAUCGAAAGGG
Molecule: ribosomal RNA, 253 nt
Filed under: uncultured bacterium
Lineage: Bacteria
Description: partial 16S ribosomal RNA
Rfam family: Bacterial small subunit ribosomal RNA
Source: RNAcentral